AGAAAAUAAAAGAAAGGGGUGUUCACUUUCUGCUGGGUGGCUUGGCAAUAGAGCUCAGAGCUGUGGUCUCUUAAGAUACAUUUACAAACAUAUGCUGGUGCAUCUAAGCAGAAGAGUUCUGAUUUCACUUUGGGUUCUCAGUGACACAUUCUAAGGAGAAACAGCAAUGCAGAGAGAAACAGGCAGAGGAACACAGCAGAGGCUACACAGGCCUCGGGUUUGUGAAAAAGACGAUUCACUGCUGCUCCGUUGUGGACACUCAUCUAUGUGAGGGCCAGGGACUUGCUGCGUGGCCAGGAAGUCUGCCGCCUCCAACCCAAGGCAAAGUACGUGGACAGUGGGCCAUGACAAUGGACAGAUGGACGGGACACAGGAGGUGGACGGAUGGACGUGUGCAGACCAUCCUGUCGUUCCCGUUCCUAACCUCCUAGGCCCCAGUAAUUCCUACUGCCUGCCCUGCUGGAGAUAUUGACAGGACUCUGAAGACAAGGUCUGCGACACUCAGGAGGC
Molecule: long non-coding RNA, 510 nt
Filed under: Aotus nancymaae (Ma's night monkey)
Lineage: Eukaryota; Metazoa; Chordata; Mammalia; Primates; Aotidae
Description: lncRNA (ENSANAG00000038989.1)
Source: RNAcentral